This 455-nucleotide ribosomal RNA is filed under the name uncultured bacterium. RNAcentral's name for it is "bacterial SSU rRNA". It matches the Rfam family "Bacterial small subunit ribosomal RNA", at positions 340 to 786 of the family's 1533-position model. The record is from RNAcentral.
CACGGAAGGCAGCAGUGGGGAAUAUUGCACAAUGGGCGAAAGCCUGAUGCAGCUAUGCCGCGUGUAUGAAGAAGGCCUUAGGGUUGUAAAGUACUUUCAUCGGGGAGGAAAAAACAAAACUAAUAAUUUUAUUUCUUGACGUUACCCGAAAAAGAAGCACCGGCUAACUCCGUGCCAGCAGCCGCGGUAAUACGGAGGGUGCUAGCGUUAAUCAGAAUUACUGGGCGUAAAGAGCACGUAGGUGGUUUUUUUAAGUCAGAUGUGAAAUCCCUGGGCUUAACCUGGAACUGCAUUUUGAAACUGAAAUACUAGAGUAUCGUAGAGGGAGGUAGAAUUCUAGGUGUAGCGGUGAAAUGCGUAGAUAUCUGGAGGAAUACCUGUGGCGAAAGCGGCCUCCUAAACGAAUACUGACACUGAGGUGCGAAAGCGUGGGGAGCAAACAGGGAUUAGAUACC